Molecule: ribosomal RNA, 411 nt
Filed under: uncultured microorganism
Description: bacterial SSU rRNA
Rfam family: Archaeal small subunit ribosomal RNA
Source: RNAcentral
GCGCACCAGGCGAGAAAACUUUACAAUGUGCGAAAGCACGAUAAGGGAACUCUGAGUGCCUCCUAAGGAGGCUGUUCUGAUGUCUAAAAAGCAACAGAAGUAAGGGCUGGGUAAGACCGGUGCCAGCCGCCGCGGUAACACCGGCAGCCCAAGUGGUAGCCACGUUUAUUGGGUCUAAAGCGUUCGUAGCCGGCCAGGUAAGUUCCUUGGUAAAUUUAGCCGCUUAACGGUUAAGCUUUCAGGGAAUACUGCUUGGCUUGGGACUGGGGAGAGGUCAGAGGUACUCCGGGGGUAGGGGUGAAAUCUAUUAAUCCCUGGGGGACCACCGGUAGCGAAGGCGUCUGACCAGACCAGGUCCGACGGUGAGGGACGAAGGCUAGGGGCGCGAACCGGAUUAGAUACCCCCGUAGU